AAGAGAAAAUGGAUAUAAGUGUUGUCUAAACACUAUUAAUCCAUCUCUGACUCUUAUAACUAGUCAAAUGCAUUGGAUUGUGACACGUUUUUACCAUAAAAACACUAAUAAAGCUAUUUACUGCUUCUAAACAAUUUCUUUAUUGGUUUUAGCCUCUUUUAAGC
RNAcentral lists this small RNA (164 nucleotides) under Arabidopsis thaliana (thale cress). Its description in RNAcentral is "ATSL034930". Lineage: Eukaryota; Viridiplantae; Streptophyta; Magnoliopsida; Brassicales; Brassicaceae. The record is from RNAcentral.